AGAAUCAACGCUGGCGGCGUGCCUAACACAUGCAAGUCGAACGAGAAAGUGGAGCAAUCCAUGAGUAAAGUGGCGCACGGGUGAGUAACACGUGACUAACCUACCCUUGAGUGGGGGAUAACCUAGAGAAAUCUGGGCUAAUACCGCAUAAUACCUUCGGGUCAAAGGAGCAAUUCGCUUAAGGAGGGGGUCGCGGCCGAUUAGUUAGUUGGCGGGGUAAUGGCCCACCAAGACUAUGAUCGGUAUCCGGCCUGAGAGGGCGCACGGACACACUGGAACUGAAACACGGUCCAGACUCCUACGGGAGGCAGCAGUGGGAAUUUUGCGCAAUGGGGGAAACCCUGACGCAGCAACGCCGCGUGGAGGAUGAAGUCCCUUGGGACGUAAACUCCUUUCGAUCGGGACGAUAAUGACGGUACCGAGAGAAGAAGCCCCGGCUAACUCGCGCCAGCAGCCGC
This 458-nucleotide ribosomal RNA is filed under the name uncultured bacterium. RNAcentral describes it as "SSU rRNA". It matches the Rfam family "Bacterial small subunit ribosomal RNA", at positions 26 to 518 of the family's 1533-position model. The record is from RNAcentral.